RNAcentral lists this ribosomal RNA (249 nucleotides) under uncultured prokaryote. Its description in RNAcentral is "partial 16S ribosomal RNA". It matches the Rfam family "Bacterial small subunit ribosomal RNA", at positions 524 to 772 of the family's 1533-position model. The record is from RNAcentral.
UACGGAGGAUGCAAGCGUUAUCCGGAUUUAUUGGGUUUAAAGGGUGCGUAGGCGGAUAUGUAAGUCAGCGGUGAAACUCACAGGCUCAACCUGUGCCGUGCCGUUGAAACUGUGUAUCUGGAAUGCGGAUGCUGUGGGAGGAAUGUGUAGUGUAGUGGUGAAAUGCAUAGAUAUUACACAGAACACCGAUUGCGAAGGCAUCUCACAAAGCCGUUAUUGACGCUGAGGCACGAAAGUGUGGGGAUCAAA